AUGAAUGAGGAAGUCGUACAAUGGCGUUUCACGGGUUUUUAUGGUCAUCCGAACUGGUGCGAUCGCAAUUUAUCUUGGGAGGAUAUUCGUAAUUUGUAUCAUAAGGGUAAUCAUCCAUGGGUGGUUCUAAGAGAUUUCAAUGAGAUUUUAUAUUCCUUGGAGAAAGAGGGGGGCAAUGGGAGACCAAAUGGAAUGAUGAAGGAUUUUCGUGAUUGUCUAGCAGAAUGUGGCUUGGAUAAUAUGGGGUUCAUAGGCGACCCCUUUACAUGGAGGAGAGGUGAGAUUAGGGAACGUCUUGACCGUGCAGUAUGUAAUGUACAAUGGGCGCAUAAAUUUCCUCGGGCAGCUGUGAUUAAUGAAAACCAUGUACAUUCUGACCACCAGCUGUUAGUU
RNAcentral lists this ribosomal RNA (393 nucleotides) under Triticum aestivum (bread wheat). RNAcentral's name for it is "partial small subunit ribosomal RNA". The record is from RNAcentral. Lineage: Eukaryota; Viridiplantae; Streptophyta; Magnoliopsida; Poales; Poaceae.